UACGGGGGGGGCAAGCGUUGUUCGGAAUUACUGGGCGUAAAGGGCGCGUAGGCGGCCUGCUAAGUCGGACGUGAAAUCCCUCGGCUCAACCGGGGAACUGCGUCCGAUACUGGCGAGGCUUGAAUCCGGGAGAGGGAUGUGGAAUUCCAGGUGUAGCGGUGAAAUGCGCAGAUAUCAGGAGGAACACCGGUGGCGAAGGCGGGCCUCUGGGCAACAACUGACGCUGAGGAGCGAAAGCGUGGGGAGCGAACAGG
RNAcentral lists this ribosomal RNA (254 nucleotides) under uncultured bacterium. RNAcentral describes it as "partial 16S ribosomal RNA". It matches the Rfam family "Bacterial small subunit ribosomal RNA", at positions 524 to 776 of the family's 1533-position model. The record is from RNAcentral.